RNAcentral lists this transfer RNA (75 nucleotides) under Aestuariivita sp. RNAcentral describes it as "tRNA-Ser". It matches the Rfam family "tRNA". Rfam says of the family: Transfer RNA (tRNA) molecules are approximately 80 nucleotides in length. Their secondary structure includes four short double-helical elements and three loops (D, anti-codon, and T loops). The record is from RNAcentral. Lineage: Bacteria; Pseudomonadati; Pseudomonadota; Alphaproteobacteria; Rhodobacterales; Paracoccaceae.
GGCCCCAUAGCUCAAUUGGAUGGAGCGCACACCCGCUAAAUGUAAGGUCCAGGUUCGAUCCCGGUGUGGCCACCA